GACAGAGGUUGCAAGCGUUGUUCGGAAUUACUAGGCGUAAAGGGCAGGUAGGUGGUUUGAUAAGUCUGUUGUGAAAGCUCCCGGCUUAACUGGGAGAGGUCAACAGAAACUAUCAGGCUUGAGUAUGGGAGAGGGUACUGGAAUUCCCGGUGUAGCGGUGAAAUGCGCAGAGAUCGGGAGGAACACCAAUGGCGAAAGCAGGUACCUGGACCAUUACUGACACUCAACUGCGAAAGCUAGGGGAGCAAACAGG
RNAcentral lists this ribosomal RNA (253 nucleotides) under uncultured prokaryote. Its description in RNAcentral is "partial 16S ribosomal RNA". It matches the Rfam family "Bacterial small subunit ribosomal RNA", at positions 524 to 776 of the family's 1533-position model. The record is from RNAcentral.